Molecule: RNase P RNA, 384 nt
Filed under: Chloroflexota bacterium
Lineage: Bacteria; Bacillati; Chloroflexota
Description: Chloroflexi bacterium RNase P RNA component class A
Rfam family: Bacterial RNase P class A
About the family: Ribonuclease P (RNase P) is a ubiquitous endoribonuclease, found in archaea, bacteria and eukarya as well as chloroplasts and mitochondria. Its best characterised activity is the generation of mature 5'-ends of tRNAs by cleaving the 5'-leader elements of precursor-tRNAs.
Source: RNAcentral
CGAGUCCGCCAGGCAACCGCGGCGGGAACCGGUCCCGUCGAGGAAAGUCCGAGCUCCGCAGAGCACGGUGCCGGGUAACACCCGGUCGGGGCAACCCGAAGGAGAGUGCCACAGAAAGUACACGGCCUAAGCGCGAAGGCGCCGGCAAAGGUGAAACGGCGAGGUAAGAGCUCGCCAGCAGCCGGGAGACCGGCUGGCUAGGUAAACCCCACCCGGAGCAAGACCGAAUAGGGGGACGACGGCUGGCUCGGCCAGUCCCCGGGUACGGUCGCUUGAGGCGCCGGGCAACCGGCGUCGAAGAUGGAUGGUUGCCGCUCCGCGCACGUGUCGGCUUCGGCCGGCUGAGGCGGGGCACAGAACUCGGCUUAUCGGCGGACUCGCGAA